Molecule: ribosomal RNA, 484 nt
Filed under: uncultured bacterium
Lineage: Bacteria
Description: partial 16S ribosomal RNA
Rfam family: Bacterial small subunit ribosomal RNA
Source: RNAcentral
AUUGAACGCUGGCGGCAGGCCUAACACAUGCAAGUCGAGCGGAUGAAGGGAGCUUGCUCCUGGAUUCAGCGGCGGACGGGUGAGUAAUGCCUAGGAAUCUGCCUGGUAGUGGGGGAUAACGUCCGGAAACGGGCGCUAAUACCGCAUACGUCCUGAGGGAGAAAGUGGGGGAUCUUCGGACCUCACGCUAUCAGAUGAGCCUAGGUCGGAUUAGCUAGUUGGUGGGGUAAAGGCCUACCAAGGCGACGAUCCGUAACUGGUCUGAGAGGAUGAUCAGCCACACUGGAACUGAGACACGGUCCAGACCCCUACGGGAGGCAGCAGUGGGGAAUAUUGGACAAUGGGCGAAAGCCUGAUCCAGCCAUGCCGCGUGUGUGAAGAAGGUCUUCGGAUUGUAAAGCACUUUAAGUUGGGAGGAAGGGCAGUAAGUUAAUACCUUGCUGUUUUGACGUUACCAACAGAAUAAGCACCGGCUAACUUCGUG